RNAcentral lists this transfer RNA (70 nucleotides) under Symplanella brevicephala. RNAcentral describes it as "tRNA-Asp". Lineage: Eukaryota; Metazoa; Arthropoda; Insecta; Hemiptera; Caliscelidae. The record is from RNAcentral.
AAGAGGUUAAUUUAAUUAAAAUACUUAUUUGUCAAAUAAAAAAUACAUUUAACAAAAUUUGUACUUCUUG